AUGCUUACUUGGCAGGGGAGACACCAUGAUCAUGAAGAUGGUUUUCGAGGGUGAGGAUUAUCCAUUGCACUCUGGAUGUGCUGACCCCUGUGAUUUGCCUAAAUGUGGGAAACUUGACCACAUAAUUUGUGGGAGUGGGGGACUGCUUUCAUGCUCUCCCAUG
Small nuclear RNA from Jaculus jaculus (lesser Egyptian jerboa), 163 nucleotides. Its record names the gene U1. It matches the Rfam family "U1 spliceosomal RNA". From Rfam's summary of the family: U1 is a small nuclear RNA (snRNA) component of the spliceosome (involved in pre-mRNA splicing). The record is from Ensembl. Lineage: Eukaryota; Metazoa; Chordata; Mammalia; Rodentia; Dipodidae.